CGCGUGUACUGGUCCGGCCGGGCCUUUCCCUCUGUGGAACCCCAUGCCCCUCACUGGGUGUGGCGGGGAAACAGGACUUUUACUGUGAAAAAAUUAGAGUGCUCCAGGCAGGCCUAUGCUCGAAUACAUUAGCAUGGAAUAAUAGAAUAGGACGUGUGGUUCUAUUUUGUUGGUUUCUAGGACCGCCGUAAUGAUUAAUAGGGACAGUCGGGGGCAUCAGUAUUCAAUUGUCAGAGGUGAAAUUCUUGGAUUUAUUGAAGACUAACUACUGCGAAAGCAUUUGCCAAGGAUGUUUUCAUUAAUCAGGAACGAAAGUUAGGGGAUCGAAGACGAUCAGAUACCGUCGUAGUCUUAACCAUAAACUAUGCCGACUAGGGAUCGGACGGUGUUAUAUUUUGACCCGUUCGGCACCUUACGAGAAAUCAAAGUGCUUGGGCUCCAGGGGGAGUAUGGUCGCAAGGCUGAAACUUAAAGAAAUUGACGGAAGGGCACCACCAGGGGUGGAGCCUGCGGCUUAAUUUGACUCAACACGGGGAAACUCACCAGGUCCAGACACAAUGAGGAUUGACAGAUUGAGAGCUCUUUCUUGAUUUUGUGGGUGGUGGUGCAUGGCCGUUCUUAGUUGGUGGAGUGAUUUGUCUGCUUAAUUGCGAUAACGAACGAGACCUUAACCUGCUAAAUAGCCCGUAUUGCUUUGGCAGUACGCUGGCUUCUUAGAGGGACUAUCGG
Molecule: ribosomal RNA, 729 nt
Filed under: uncultured eukaryote
Lineage: Eukaryota
Description: SSU rRNA
Rfam family: Eukaryotic small subunit ribosomal RNA
Source: RNAcentral